This 497-nucleotide ribosomal RNA is filed under the name uncultured bacterium. RNAcentral's name for it is "partial 16S ribosomal RNA". It matches the Rfam family "Bacterial small subunit ribosomal RNA", at positions 28 to 507 of the family's 1533-position model. The record is from RNAcentral.
GAUGAACGCUGGCGGCGUGCCUAAUACAUGCAAGUCGAGCGAACAGACGAGGAGCUCGCUCCUCUGACGUUAGCGGCGGACGGGUGAGUAACACGUGGAUAACCUACCUAUAAGACUGGGAUAACUUCGGGAAACCGGAGCUAAUACCGGAUAACAUGUUGAACCGCAUGGUUUAACAGUGAAAGACGGUCUUGCUGUCACUUAUAGAUGGAUCCGCGCCGCAUUAGCUAGUUGGUAAGGUAACGGCUUACCAAGGCAACGAUGCGUAGCCGACCUGAGAGGGUGAUCGGCCACACUGGAACUGAGACACGGUCCAGACUCCUACGGGAGGCAGCAGUAGGGAAUCUUCCGCAAUGGGCGAAAGCCUGACGGAGCAACGCCGCGUGAGUGAAGAAGGUCUUCGGAUCGUAAAACUCUGUUAUUAGGGAAGAACAAAUGUGUAAGUAACUAUGCACGUCUUGACGGUACCUAAUCAGAAAGCCACGGCUAACUACGUG